CAGCAGCCGCGGUAAUACGAAGGGGGCUAGCGUUGCUCGGAAUUACUGGGCGUAAAGGGCGCGUAGGCGGACAGUUCAGUCGGGGGUGAAAGCCCGGGGCUCAACCUCGGAAUUGCCUUCGAUACUGGCUGUCUUGAGUAUGAGAGAGGUGUGUGGAACUCCGAGUGUAGAGGUGAAAUUCGUAGAUAUUCGGAAGAACACCAGUGGCGAAGGCGACACACUGGCUCAUUACUGACGCUGAGGCGCGAAAGCGUGGGGAGCAAACAGGAUUAGAUACCCCUGUAGUCCCUGUCUCUUAUAA
RNAcentral lists this ribosomal RNA (301 nucleotides) under uncultured bacterium. RNAcentral describes it as "partial 16S ribosomal RNA". It matches the Rfam family "Bacterial small subunit ribosomal RNA", at positions 509 to 809 of the family's 1533-position model. The record is from RNAcentral.